This 492-nucleotide ribosomal RNA is filed under the name uncultured bacterium. RNAcentral describes it as "partial 16S ribosomal RNA". It matches the Rfam family "Bacterial small subunit ribosomal RNA", at positions 29 to 507 of the family's 1533-position model. The record is from RNAcentral.
AGUGAACGCUGGCGGUAGGCCUAACACAUGCAAGUCGAACGGCAGCACAGUAAGAGCUUGCUCUUACGGGUGGCGAGUGGCGGACGGGUGAGGAAUACAUCGGAAUCUACUUUUUCGUGGGGGAUAACGUAGGGAAACUUACGCUAAUACCGCAUACGACCUCCGGGUGAAAGCAGGGGAUCUUCGGACCUUGGCGGAUUAAAUGGGCCGAUGUCGGAUUAGCUAGUUGGCGGGGUAAAGGCCCACCAAGGCGCCGAUCCGUAGCUGGUCUGAGAGGAUGGUCAGCCACACUGGAACUGAGACACGGUCCAGACUCCUACGGGAGGCAGCAGUGGGGAAUAUUUGACAAUGGGCGCAAGCCUGAUCCAGCCAUACCGCGUGGGUGAAGAAGGCCUUCGGGUUGUAAAGCCCUUUUGUUGGGAAAGAAAAGCAGCAGGUUAAUACCCCGCUGUUCUGACGGUACCCAAAGAAUAAGCACCGGCUAACUUCGUG